UGUGAACCACCCUGAGAUCUACCUGUAUACAGUAGUCUACAAAUUUAAUAAAUAAUAAUAUUGUGUUUACAGCAAUAGAUGGCAUUGAAGGCAGCCAUACCUACAUAACUGAAUGUUCUUGUAACCCUUCUCCUCUCGCUGCCCCCGAACCUUCUUUCUUAAUAACUGCUGCAUACAAAUGAUCACCAUUAUUGUUCUACCUUCAGUGCAAACAUCUAGGAAGCUUAUGAAGGAGACGCCAACUAAGGGCCAGCUUACACAUGUGGUUCAGGUACCAUAAUUAAGCUACAGGCUUUCUAGGUAACUGAAAGUAGUUUCUGAUGAAAUGUGUGUUGCAUUAUAUAACUUUAUUCAGUGCUAUUAUUCUAGGAAAAGAGAUGCCGGACUAGCCAUGAAUGCCUCCCUUGUUCUCUUAUAAAGGCAAUGGCACCCACCUGAGAGGUGCCGGAACUGGGUUCCGGUGAGUUCCAGCUGGAAAAUAAAGCCCUGACUUUAUUCAAAACAAUCAACCCACCCUACUGCAAAUCCUCUUUUACUAUAUCUCUUUUCAGAUUAACUCUCCUUCCCCUUUUCGUCCUCUCUUCCAACUAUCCUUUAUCCAAAGAUGACAUUUCACUGUUCCUUCCUAUCUUACAUCCUUCAUCUCUCGGGGAUGUUUCAGAAUGAAAUAGCACCUCAUUGAUCAUGCAACAUUUCAAAUGGAAAAUUCUACACGAGAUCUUCAGAGGCACUGGCUUAUGCUUUAGCUCCAUCUUUUAAAACUGUGCUGCAGAAGUUUCUGGCAUGAAAUUAAGAGUUUCAGGUGUGAGUUAGGAACUGCAAGAUUGGAACAGGAGAAGAACGUUGGUACAAGGAACACCAGGGGGGCAGUGAGGGUGACUACUGAAGUGAGAAACAAAUAUUUGUAAUUACUGAUACCCUGGUAUCAGUAAUUAGAGCAGGAAGACACUUUGUGGCCAUAACAGCUGGGUUUGUGCUAUAUCAGCCCAUUAUUUUAAUGAAGCCCAUUUGAAGAAGUGGCUGGGGCAGGAAUGUCUGGUUAGCAUCUACUGGGUUUGCUCAGGAAAAUGCCUUGUAAAUGAAUUCUGUAAUCCUGUAAUCACACUGGCCAUAUCCUUCAGCACAUCCUUAGUUUUUCCAUUAAGGGUCAUUCAGACCUUGGAAUAAGGAAUGGACACUAAGGAUAUCUGCAUUAAUCCAAAAAUCUAAUGCAAAUUGCAAAGGGAAAAACACUGGGUAGACCAUGAGAGAAAUAGUUAAUUCCUGCCUGUCAUGGUCCCAAUCUUGCUCCCCUCAAUGACAGCUAUUUGCAUUUUUAUAAAAUGUACAAUUAAAUGCAACAAUGCAUUUAACAUCAUGUCUAGUUUGGCCCAGUUGGAAGUUCAGCUGGACAUAAGCCAAGAGAAGAGAUAUGAGCAAGAUUAAAAUAUUGUCUUGUGUCUGCAGAAUUUGUGAAGAAAAAUAGCAGGGAAGCUGCACAGGACAUAGACUACUGAGCUUCACCGUCUUGCAUUUGCCACAUGUUGCUGUCUUCCGUCCACUUCAGGAGGGGAAUCAAAUUUCAAGGAAAGCUGGAACACAGAAUAAGCUACCAAUGUUCAAGGCCAGCAGAGGUGAUUUCCCAAGAACGCUUGAUACACCGUGAAAAUUGAAACAACUGAAGCACCUUUGAAUGUGCAAAUUUCCCCCCUGAAUUGAAAUGAAUGAGUCAUCCCAGAAGCACAGAGAUCCGUCUGCACAUCUGAGCACACACCGAAAUCCCAGUAAUACCGAUUCUGAAGUCUGACUCCCAACUACGCGGAGAAGCAUUGGCUGAUUACUAUCUGACCUCUGUAACGAGGUAGGAGAAGACUGAGUUGUACCAUUCACCUUGGCAUCCACUUGAGGCUGAAACACCAGAAGGUCUGCUAGAAUUCUCUCCAGUUCACCUCUUUCUUCACUCUCCAAGGAAAUUAGAAUUUGUGCAGGGCUUCGCGGUUGACUGAGUGGGGAUUCUUGGUUCAAACUUUGGCAGUAGUGCUGGAUUAACAAAUGUUCAUCGUCUCUAAAAAUGCAAAAAAGGAAAAUGAUAAGAACAAGAGAAAGCAAAGCAAAGAGACCAGACCCACAUUUCCAUCUAGAAAACUGCCCUCCGCAUAUUUUGUCCUCAAGAAUGGCAGAGAGCUGUGAUAACGUAUGUAUCAAAGAGUAGUACAGAGUUUGUCUCGGCUGCUGGCAGAAACUCAGAAUUCAGUGUAUUAAACUGAUUACAACAGAACAGUUCAGUCCCAGUUUUUUUUACAUAUUAUUAGGUACAUUCUGCUAAAAUUUAGGCAGAAGUGGGAAAGUGGCAUAUCAGCAAAGUGGUCAAAUCAGUUCCUUGGUGCCAUCUGUCUGAGAAAAGAGGUAGAUAAUUUGUUACGGAUGAGUAUGUGCAAUAGCAAUAGCAAUCUUCAGCUGCUGUCAAGAUAAUCUUAUCUAAACUGAGAUCCCAGGACCCCUAGCACCCCCGUUUGGGAGGUCAAGAUUCCUACCUCUUGGGUCAACAGUAUUGUCUAGGUAGGGAUGUUCUGGAGCCUCCAGCUUCCCAGUGAUAUUCAGGGUCUCCUAUAGCCUAAAUACAGAACAGCUGGCAUGCACUUCACCAGAGGAGCAGUUCAUUCUUCCACUUUGAAUACAGUGUAAUAUGAUGUGAUCUUGUGUAUAAGUGAUUUUUCCUCACUUGUUUUUGUUUUCCUGUUCCUCUUCACCCCAACACUGCAUACUAUUCUAUUCAGAAAUUAGAAAUGUCAUGUCCAGGUUUUCCUUAUGCCUUCGUUUGUCCCACUGCCCUAAGGCUUUUCAACUGGCUCAUAAGUGAGCCAGUAUGUAUAGCUGUUACUGAAUCACUGCUGAAGACACCUCUGCAAGGUGGCAUUUAUGACUGGUACCUUUUAAACACAAGGCAUCUGCAACUUUAACAAAUGCAUGCAGAGAGAAAUUCAACCUGUGAAGCAUUUUGAAAUCAAGAAGGAAGCAACAGUUGUUUCUGUGCAGGUGUUGGCAACUAAUAACCUAGUGUCCUUCGUAAUAAACUGUGUAUGUGUAACCAAGGUUAAGCCACUAUAUGCCAUAUCAUUAAAGCAUUGUCUUGGAUUACAGCCAGCUCCUCUAUUUUUCCUUUCAUUUGUUGUGAAAAUUAGUUUAGCAGAGUUUUAUGCAAGGUUGUAAUUUUGUGCACCUUUUAUUACUAGGUUAUAUGAAAUUUUACACUGGCUAUUUUAAAAUAAAACCACAAUAAAGAUUAAGUUGUGGAGAAAAUAACUAGUAAGACAGAAAUAUCUUAUAUCCAUGGAGAGUUGCACCUGGUCAUUGUGCUUACAGAUCUGUGGGAAUACCGCAGGAAGGAGGACAUAAGAAAGAGGCAAAAGUGCUGCAAAGCCAACUGGGGGCAUGUAUUGCUUAACUAGUAGCUCAUUCAUGCAUAGGCGCCAACUUGUGAGGGAGAUGGGGGGGGGCAACAUCAUGUCAGGACGGUGGAGGAGCCAGGAAUAUGGCGACAACGUGUCUUCAAUGGCCGGCAGGUUCUCCUCCUCUUGCUGCCAUUGGCUGGGGGCUGCUUUCCCCUCAGGAGGAGAUGGCCACGGAAAUCUCACCAUGCUUGGCUCCAUGCUUGGCUCUGACUUUUUAGAACACUGGAGGCACCCCCAAAAUAUUUGGGGCCCCAAAAGGGUUAGGCCCCCAGGAGUUGGAAUUUCUGCAUUCAUGUGAACCUCUGAAUUGUUUGAACAAACAAAACACUUUUGUAACUCGACCUGAAGUGCACCUCCAAAGCCUGAAGUCUUAAGUUUUGCUGUACAUAGAUUAAAAUGUUGCUUCCAUUUGGGAUUUUAAUUUGUCUCUAUGCUUUAAGUUACUAUGGCAAAGAGCAAUUCAUAAAUAAUAAAAAAAUACUGGUUUUCUCCAA
Podarcis muralis (Common wall lizard) is the source of this 3925-nucleotide long non-coding RNA. RefSeq lists it as uncharacterized. The record is from RefSeq and is a predicted model, not a curated record. Lineage: Eukaryota; Metazoa; Chordata; Lepidosauria; Squamata; Lacertidae.